UUUGAUAAAAUCUAAAAUUUCUCUUCUUUAGCCUAUUGAAAUUAAAUCGGCAUGUCAUUUUUAUCAUUGGAGUAUUUGAACAGAAUCAUUUGUCCAGAAGCUCGGAAAAACCUCUAAAAACACCUGUGUUGAAAUACGGGAGUCAUCGAGACCCCUCCCCCCUCGGACAAUUUCUAACCGACCAAACUACUCCUGGCCAAAUACAAUCGGACAACGGAAAAUAUUUAUCAGUAUCAGUAAAAUUCAAUACAGCAUCUUAAAGAUGGCUCGCAUUGGACAGAGAAAAAUAUUGUCAUUUCUACUUCUCUCCAUUCCAUGGCUCGUUGUCUAUAGCGUCUCCAAAAACAAUGACUUCUUUAAAAAUUUGGCGAAAGGGAUUUCCGUUAUUAGAAUAAGGAACAACUGGGGGAGCAAUAUGUCGAAAAGUGUUGUCGUAGCACGAAUUUUGAGCAACGACUUGCCUCCUCUGCACGGAGAUCGCCAAACAUACCUAAACAGUAGAUUUAUUCUGCAACAUGAGAUUUUACCACCCGAUUUUAAACGUCUCUGGAUUCUCAAUUCUAUAGUCAAUAAAAGCAAGCAAGAGGAGUUGGAAACAUUGCUCACUACUUAUGACGAGUGGUUCGAAACUAUCAGCUUUCCGAAGACUAAUAACUCAAAGGUUUUAGAACAACAAGUUUUGAAUGUGAACAGAGCUCGAAAUAUUGGAAUUUGGGAAGCUUUCCAGUCUGGUGCAAAUUGGGUUCUCGUUUUGGAUGGUUGCUCAUUUUUGACCUCUGAAAGUUUGUCUUCCAUUGCUCCAUUCAUACGAGACAAGACAAGAAAAGAAGUACUUUAUUUUAUUCCUAUGGUUCGCCUGCAGCAUAAAGAACCAGCAGUGUCGAUGAAUACUUCUUAUUCCCAACUUUUUCCUUACAUAUCAGGACAACAAGAGUGCCAACUUGGAAUAAGUCGAAAAGCGUUUGAUUCCCAAAUUAUACAAAAUAUAACAACGCCUCAGAACGGUUACGUUUUUGAUGAAAAGAAGCUCUAUGCCGAUGCAAACAAGCUUGAUUUCUUAAUACGUGCGCAUGAAUCACGUUUCAAGCAAUAUGUGCAUUGUCAAUCAUCUAUGGUGGGGUGGCAAAUAGAGAAGUCUAGAAGUGUGGAGAGAGACCUGAAACGAAUGAAAAGAUGUGGAUACGUUUUGCGACUACUUUAUCACCCAGAGGAUAGUGCUCCAGCCAAUCAGUCACUAUCCGGUCAGGAAAGAUCUGAUCAGAGACACGAUUCUAAAAGGAAUUUUGAGAAAACUCUGAAAACACUAGCCUCGGAGUAUCAAUAAAAGCAAUUAUAAAGCAUCAAGGGCGGAUAUGACGCUAGGAGUAAGCGGUGCUGGCUCUUUUCCAGUUUCCCAGCCCCCUCGUAGAGUUACAAUGCAAAGUUGUUCAAAAAAUACUCAUACGGCAACUUGCAUUCGUUCAUGCGGACACGUUAUGUUAAGUUAAAUAAUCAAGGUCAUAUUAGAUAAGCUUUUGGAUCUCUAAUUUCAGUAAAAAUCAAUGGGUGGAACUGAAAAGAGCGGUGGUGUUUUUAGUUUCUAAGGCGGGCUAGAUGAGUUU
This is a long non-coding RNA of Symsagittifera roscoffensis, 1601 nucleotides long. RefSeq lists it as uncharacterized. Lineage: Eukaryota; Metazoa; Xenacoelomorpha; Acoela; Convolutidae. The record is from RefSeq and is a predicted model, not a curated record. The transcript has 3 exons.